UGGAAACGACUGCUAAUACCGCAUAAUGUCUACGGACCAAAGGGGGCUUCGGCUCUCGCCUUUAGAUUGGCCCAAGUGGGAUUAGCUAGUUGGUGAGGUAAUGGCUCACCAAGGCGACGAUCCCUAGCUGGUUUGAGAGGAUGAUCAGCCACACUGGGACUGAGACACGGCCCAGACUCCUACGGGAGGCAGCAGUGGGGAAUAUUGCACAAUGGGCGCAAGCCUGAUGCAGCCAUGCCGCGUGUGUGAAGAAGGCCUUCGGGUUGUAAAGCACUUUCAGUCAGGAGGAAAGGUUAGUAGUUAAUACCUGCUAGCUGUGACGUUACUGACAGAAGAAGCACCGGCUAACUCCGUGCCAGCAGCCGCGGUAAUACGGAGGGUGCGAGCGUUAAUCGGAAUUACUGGGCGUAAAGCGUACGCAGGCGGUUUGUUAAGCGAGAUGUGAAAGCCCCGGGCUCAACCUGGGAACUGCAUUUCGAACUGGCAAACUAGAGUGUGAUAGAGGGUGGUAGAAUUUCAGGUGUAGCGGUGAAAUGCGUAGAGAUCUGAAGGAAUACCGAUGGCGAAGGCAGCCACCUGGGUCAACACUGACGCUCAUGUACGAAAGCGUGGGGAGCAAACGGGAUUAGAUACCCCGGUAGUCCACGCCGUAAACGAUGUCUACUAGAAGCUCGGAGCCUCGGUUCUGUUUUUCAAAGCUAACGCAUUAAGUAGACCGCCUGGGGAGUACGGCCGCAAGGUUAAAACUCAAAUGAAUUGACGGGGGCCCGCACAAGCGGUGGAGCAUGUGGUUUAAUUCGAUGCAACGCGAAGAACCUUACCUACACUUGACAUACAGAG
RNAcentral lists this ribosomal RNA (840 nucleotides) under Pseudoalteromonas sp. Its description in RNAcentral is "bacterial SSU rRNA". It matches the Rfam family "Bacterial small subunit ribosomal RNA", at positions 151 to 993 of the family's 1533-position model. The record is from RNAcentral. Lineage: Bacteria; Pseudomonadati; Pseudomonadota; Gammaproteobacteria; Alteromonadales; Pseudoalteromonadaceae.